This 262-nucleotide ribosomal RNA is filed under the name Lachnospiraceae bacterium NLAE-zl-G231. RNAcentral describes it as "partial 23S rRNA. Bacterial LSU". It matches the Rfam family "Bacterial large subunit ribosomal RNA", at positions 2655 to 2925 of the family's 2925-position model. The record is from RNAcentral. Lineage: Bacteria; Bacillati; Bacillota; Clostridia; Lachnospirales; Lachnospiraceae.
AGGAUAUUUGAGAGGAGCUGUCCUUAGUACGAGAGGACCGGGAUGGACGGACCGCUGGUGGAUCUGUUGGCUACCAAAGCCAUGGCAGAGUAGCCAAGUCCGGCAGGGAUAAACGCUGAAGGCAUCUAAGCGUGAAGCCCCCCUCAAGAUGAGAUAUCCCAAUAAGUAAGACCCCUUAGGGAGUAUGAGGUAGAUAGGCUGGAGGUGGAAGUGCAGUAAUGUAUGUAGCUGACCAGUACUAAUCGGUCGAGGGCUUAUCCUG